Molecule: ribosomal RNA, 253 nt
Filed under: uncultured bacterium
Lineage: Bacteria
Description: partial 16S ribosomal RNA
Rfam family: Bacterial small subunit ribosomal RNA
Source: RNAcentral
UACGAAGGGAGCUAGCGUUGUUCGGAAUCACUGGGCUUAAAGCGUGUGUAGGCGGGUCGUUAAGUACCUUGUGAAAUCCCACGGCUCAACCGUGGAACUGCUCGGUAUACUGGCGAUCUUGAGCCACUUAGGGGCUACCGGAACAAAUGGUGGAGCGGUGAAAUGCGUAGAUAUCAUUUGGAACGCCAAUGGUGAAAACAGGUAGCUGGGAGUGUGCUGACGCUGAGACACGAAAGCCAGGGGAGCGAACGGG